Molecule: ribosomal RNA, 259 nt
Filed under: uncultured bacterium
Lineage: Bacteria
Description: partial 16S ribosomal RNA
Rfam family: Bacterial small subunit ribosomal RNA
Source: RNAcentral
UACGAAGGGGGCUAGCGUUGUUCGGAAUUACUGGGCGUAAAGCGCACGUAGGCGGAUUGUUAAGUCGGGGGUGAAAUCCUGAGGCUCAACCUCAGAACUGCCUUCGAUACUGGCAAUCUCGAGUCCGGAAGAGGUUGGUGGAACAGCUAGUGUAGAGGUGAAAUUCGUAGAUAUUAGCUAGAACACCAGUGGCGAAGGCGGCCCAACUGGUCCGGUACUGACGCUGAGGUGCGAAAGCGUGGGGAGCAACAGGGAUUAA